RNAcentral lists this unclassified non-coding RNA (309 nucleotides) under plant metagenome. RNAcentral's name for it is "partial contains 5.8S ribosomal RNA, internal transcribed spacer 2, and large subunit ribosomal RNA". The stretch from base 1 to 105 matches the Rfam family "5.8S ribosomal RNA", at positions 50 to 154 of the family's 154-position model. The record is from RNAcentral.
GAAAUGCGAUAAGUAAUGUGAAUUGCAGAAUUCAGUGAAUCAUCGAAUCUUUGAACGCACAUUGCGCCCGCCAGUAUUCUGGCGGGCAUGCCUGUUCGAGCGUCAUUUCAACCAUCAAGCCCCGGGCUUGUGUUGGGGACCUGCGGCUGCCCGCAGGCCCUGAAAACCAGUGGCGGGCUCGCUGUCACACCGGGCGUAGUAGAUUUUUCGUCUCGCCCAGGGCGUGCUGCGGGUUCCGGCCGUUAAAAAGCCUCUCUUUUAACCCAAGGUUGACCUCGGAUCAGGUAGGAAGACCCGCUGAACUUAAGC